GAAAAUUGAGAUAAUAAAACUUGCGACAAAAUAAAUAAAUAAUAUUCAAACAUUUCCUACGCUAUAAAUAAGUCGGAGUCCAAAACUUAUGUUUUAUUUCUUCUUUCAACAGUUUCCCGCCGAAGUUCAGUUGGGACUAAGAGCGAGGAACCCUAACCCCUAGAGAUUCAAUGCAAUCCGAGUUCCUUAAUUUAUCUGCGAUCUUCGGUUUGAUGCAUUUUUUCUCCAUUUCUUGUCUUGCUGCGUUCUGUAUGGCACGGGAAAAUCCACCGUUGCCAUCAAUCGCGCCAAAUUUCAUCUCUCGAUUAAUUUUCUUGUUCUGCCGCUUUCCGACACUGAAGCCUUAACUCCUAGAGAUUAAUCAUGCAAUCUGAGUUUUCGAUUACCUUCGAUCUUUGUUUUCGAUGCUUUUUUGUUCUCUAAUGCUUCGAUUGCUGCCAAGAGCAUAGAGGUUUAGUCAUUUUUCUUAUUAUGGAGAACUCUGCAGCAGAGGAUCUCGUAAAUCCUGAGUCAUGGAAGGUCGCUGACUCUCGAUCGUUCAUGGACGGUGCUGUUCUCUCGAUCGUUCGAUUCCUGGCAAGAAUUUGACAAGUCUAUUCUUCAGGUUGAUCGGUUGCUUCGUGAGGCUUUUCAGAAUCCUUGCAAACGCUUAUCGAGUGCUCAUUGCCCUGAAGAUAUAAGGUCUGGCCCUCCAUAGAGUUAUUUGGCCUUUUAGUUUAAAGGUUUGAUGCACACUACACAUCAGCCAUUUUUCUGCAUUCCUCUCGGUAUCUUUUCCAGCAGUCUGAAAUGCCUUUUAUUCCUCGUCACGAGCAAGUUCAUCAUCCCCUUUCUCGUUGAAAGGUUGGAAGGUGUACGAUAGCAAAAAUCCAUCCAUCUCACAUCGCCUUGGGCAUGCAACCCAAAAAUAUCGAAAGACAACUUGCUUGAAGAAAACUCUUUUAGAGCCAGGUACAAGUCAAGUCCCUUCGAUUCGACAACAAAAGUUGGUUAUAAAAUAGUUUUUUGGUCAGCUUUCCCAUUCUUUCAGACGUGGCAGUGUCUAAUAUGAGGUUCCUUCUGCCUCAGACAGCUUCGAGGUUCCCAUUGAUUAUAGAGGAUGAAACUACUAAACUUGCUUAUGUUCUUGGAGUGCUCUUUCUAUAAAAAAGAUUGAGUAGGAAAAACAAUUGGUUUCAAUCGAGAUUUCCCUGACUUCUUAGGCACAUGAGGAAUUGGCCUAACACCUUUUCGAUCGAAAUCCCAAUCUUUUGGAUUAGCUUUGUCUCUAUAAGGGCAUCGGCCAAGCCUACACCGUUUCGUUUAAUGCUUAUUCUCCUCAAAUGGUGGGGCCGAGCAUAGAGAACUGAGAAUGAUCGAGAAUGUCGAUGGAUUGAAAGUUGCACCAACAAGCAGAGCUAUACAAUCUCUUUUGCAUGUUUUUAUUAAAUUUUGUACUUCUCAAGCAUUUGAUUGAUUUUUAAAUUGAAAAACAACCCCAA
This is a long non-coding RNA of Cucurbita maxima (winter squash), 1481 nucleotides long. RefSeq lists it as uncharacterized. The record is from RefSeq and is a predicted model, not a curated record. The transcript has 5 exons. NCBI's taxonomy places the organism in Eukaryota, Viridiplantae, Streptophyta, Magnoliopsida, Cucurbitales, Cucurbitaceae.